This 259-nucleotide ribosomal RNA is filed under the name uncultured Staphylococcus sp. RNAcentral's name for it is "partial 16S ribosomal RNA". It matches the Rfam family "Bacterial small subunit ribosomal RNA", at positions 103 to 354 of the family's 1533-position model. Lineage: Bacteria; Bacillati; Bacillota; Bacilli; Caryophanales; Staphylococcaceae. The record is from RNAcentral.
CGGGUGAGUAACACGUGGAUAACCUACCUAUAAGACUGGGAUAACUUCGGGAAACCGGAGCUAAUACCGGAUAAUAUAUUGAACCGCAUGGUUCAAUGGUGAAAGACGGUUUUGCUGUCACUUAUAGAUGGAUCCGCGCCGCAUUAGCUAGUUGGUAAGGUAACGGCUUACCAAGGCAACGAUGCGUAGCCGACCUGAGAGGAUGAUCGGCCACACUGGAACUGAGACACGGUCCAGACUCCUACGGGAGGCAGCAGAU